GUCUUUUAAUUGAAGUCUGGUAUGAAUGGUUUGAUGAAAAAUUUACUUUCUUUACUUUAUAAGAUAAAAUUUAAUUUUUGGAUUAAAAAGUCUAAAUAUAUUUAUAGGACGAGAAGACCCUAUAGAACUUGACUUUUAUAUUUUAAAUAAAUUUUUAGUGAUAUAAUUUUUUAUUAUGAUGUUAAAAGUUUUAUUGGGGUGAUAAAAAAAAUUUUUUAACUUUUUUUAUUUGAUUCAUUUAUUUAUGAAUUUUUGAUCCUUUUUUAUGGAAAAUAAGAUUAAGUUACCUUAGGGAUAACAGCGUUAUUAUUUUAGAGAGAUCAUAUUGAUAAAAUAGUUUGCGACCUCGAUGUUGGAUUAAAAUUAGUUUCAGGAGUAGAAUAUUGAUUACUAGGUCUGUUCGACCUAUAAAUUUUUACA
Molecule: ribosomal RNA, 420 nt
Filed under: Compsidolon salicellum
Lineage: Eukaryota; Metazoa; Arthropoda; Insecta; Hemiptera; Miridae
Description: partial 16S ribosomal RNA
Source: RNAcentral